RNAcentral lists this transfer RNA (74 nucleotides) under Chromobacterium piscinae. RNAcentral's name for it is "tRNA-Gly". It matches the Rfam family "tRNA". From Rfam's summary of the family: Transfer RNA (tRNA) molecules are approximately 80 nucleotides in length. Their secondary structure includes four short double-helical elements and three loops (D, anti-codon, and T loops). Lineage: Bacteria; Pseudomonadati; Pseudomonadota; Betaproteobacteria; Neisseriales; Chromobacteriaceae. The record is from RNAcentral. RNAcentral also lists the same sequence under 1 other name.
GCGGGUGUAGCUCAAUGGUAGAGCAAAAGCCUUCCAAGCUUAUGACGAGGGUUCGAUUCCCUUCACCCGCUCCA